CGCUGGCGGCACGCCUAACACAUGCAAGUCGAACGAAGUAGCAAUACUUAGUGGCAGACGGGUGAGUAACAUGUGGGUAUCUGCCCUUUGGCCUGGAAUAACACGAGGAAACUUGUGCUAAUACCGGAUAAGUCUUUACGGAGAAAGCUUUAUGCACCAUUGGAUGAGCCUGCACUUGAUUAGUUUGUUGGUGGGGUAAUGGCCUACCAAGACUGUGAUCAAUAGCUGAUUUGAGAGGAUGAUCAGCCACAUUGGGACUGAGACACGGCCCAAACUCCUACGGGAGGCAGCAGUGGGGAAUCUUGCACAAUGGAGGAAACUCUGAUGCAGCGAUGCCGCGUGAGUGAAGAAGGCCCUUGGGUUGUAAAGCUCUUUCGUCGGGGAAGAAAAUGACUGUACCCGAAUAAGAAGGUCCGGCUAACUUCGUGCCAGCAGCCGCGGUAAUACGAAGGGACCUAGCGUAGUUCGGAAUUACUGGGCUUAAAGAGUUCGUAGGUGGUUGAAAAAGUUAGUGGUGAAAUCCCAGAGCUUAACUCUGGAACUGCCAUUAAAACUUUUCAGCUAGAGUAUGAUAGAGGAAAGCAGAAUUUCUAGUGUAGAGGUGAAAUUCGUAGAUAUUAGAAAGAAUACCAAUUGCGAAGGCAGCUUUCUGGAUCAUUACUGACACUGAGGAACGAAAGCAUGGGUAGCGAAGAGGAUUAGAUACCCUCGUAGUCCAUGCCGUAAACGAUGUGUGUUAGACGUUGGAAAUUUAUUUUCAGUGUCGCAGGGAAACCGAUAAACACACCGCCU
RNAcentral lists this ribosomal RNA (792 nucleotides) under uncultured Alphaproteobacteria bacterium. RNAcentral describes it as "bacterial SSU rRNA". It matches the Rfam family "Bacterial small subunit ribosomal RNA", at positions 34 to 874 of the family's 1533-position model. Lineage: Bacteria; Pseudomonadati; Pseudomonadota; Alphaproteobacteria. The record is from RNAcentral.